RNAcentral lists this ribosomal RNA (253 nucleotides) under uncultured bacterium. RNAcentral's name for it is "partial 16S ribosomal RNA". It matches the Rfam family "Bacterial small subunit ribosomal RNA", at positions 524 to 776 of the family's 1533-position model. The record is from RNAcentral.
UACGUAGGGUGCAAGCGUUGUCCGGAAUUAUUGGGCGUAAAGAGCUCGUAGGCGGUCUGUCGCGUCGAAUGUGAAAACCCGGGGCUCAACCCCGGGCCUGCAUUCGAUACGGGCAGACUAGAGUUCGGUAGGGGAGUCUGGAAUUCCCGGUGUAGCGGUGAAAUGCGCAGAUAUCAGGAGGAACACCGGUGGCGAAGGCGGGACUCUGGGCCGAUACUGACGCUGAGGAGCGAAAGCCAGGGGAGCAAACGGG